RNAcentral lists this small RNA (126 nucleotides) under Salmonella enterica. RNAcentral's name for it is "RtT sRNA". It matches the Rfam family "RtT RNA". From Rfam's summary of the family: This family represents a bacterial cis-regulatory element known as RtT RNA. The exact function of RtT is unknown although it is thought that it may be involved in changing the cellular response in relation to amino acid starvation. Lineage: Bacteria; Pseudomonadati; Pseudomonadota; Gammaproteobacteria; Enterobacterales; Enterobacteriaceae. The record is from RNAcentral.
UUGCUAUCUGCGAUAUGGAAGAUUCGAACCUGCCGCAGGGUCGGGACUCACGCAGUGAGACAACGGAGCCGCUUGCGGCGACGGCCCGAAGGGCGAGCGAAGCGAGUCAUCCUGCACGACCCACCA